Molecule: long non-coding RNA, 229 nt
Filed under: Solanum tuberosum (potato)
Lineage: Eukaryota; Viridiplantae; Streptophyta; Magnoliopsida; Solanales; Solanaceae
Description: long non-coding RNA (STUB_LNC009877)
Source: RNAcentral
UAGACAACUAAUUUUGUACAGAUAGGUCUCUGGAAAUAGGAAAAGCGAGUAAAUGUUUUAUCAAAAUACGAGUGGUCAAUCCCAUGUUCGGUUUAUGCAAGCUCCGUAUGACAAUGGUGUCGUUGAGUCUCACGGUGAGACUCUUCAACUCCGGUAUGUACAUGUAAACAAAGAUAAGAAAAGAAAUAAAAAUUAGCAAGCAUGUAAUGGCGAAGUAUCAAAAUGAACA